Paenibacillus pectinilyticus is the source of this 364-nucleotide non-coding RNA. It matches the Rfam family "transfer-messenger RNA". Rfam says of the family: Bacterial tmRNA, also known as 10Sa RNA or SsrA, is named for its dual tRNA and mRNA-like properties. Its role is to liberate the mRNA from a stalled ribosome. To accomplish this part of the tmRNA is used as a reading frame that ends in a translation stop signal. Lineage: Bacteria; Bacillati; Bacillota; Bacilli; Caryophanales; Paenibacillaceae. The record is from Rfam.
GGGGGUGUUCUUGGAUUCGACGGGGAUAGUUUGAGCGCGGGUUGCGGGUAGUGGGGCCGCGUCCACUAUAAAACGCUAAAGCCUAUUAAAUGGCAAAACACAAAACAACUACGCUUUAGCAGCUUAAUAACCUGUUAGCGUGCUUCUACUCAGCAUCGCCCAUGUGACUGGGAUAGGGGCUCAACUAUAGUGGGAUACGACGUUCGGUCUCCGCCUGGGGUCGACGUAAGAAGAUAAUCAGGCUGACCCAACGCAUAGCCGGUUACGGGGCGAUGCUCGGGUGACAUCAAAACUGUGACUACACCCGUAGAUGCCUGUGUGGCAAUAUUUUCGGACAGGGGUUCGACUCCCCUCACCUCCAUAC